UAGAAAGAUUAUCUGCAUUGGACCUCUGCAACCACCUCUCCUAACCUAGUGGAAGGCUCCGGUGUUUUCUUCAAUGCCCGCACCAACCUUCUUAAACCCCGGAAGGAGGCAGAGAGAGGAAGAUGGUCAAGCCCUGAGGGAGCGGGACAAGUCCUCGCUGGCCCCUGAGGGCCCCUCCGGCUCGCCGAAAGUCCCAGACAUGACCCUCAGCCCACGGAGACCCCGUGCUCAGCCUGCUGCCUCCAGCAGCUCUUCCUCCAGCAACAGUCACACUGCUGCAGCCUGCCUCAACCACUGCCACAACAGCAGCUCUGGGUUAGUACUAACAGCUAGCCACCUGACCAAUCAGUUAGCAGGCUACAUAAGCUAGCCGCUGGUCAAUAGCAGUGUAUUGACCGCCACUA
This 404-nucleotide long non-coding RNA is filed under the name Oncorhynchus kisutch (coho salmon). RNAcentral's name for it is "lncRNA (ENSOKIG00005017224.1)". The record is from RNAcentral. Lineage: Eukaryota; Metazoa; Chordata; Actinopteri; Salmoniformes; Salmonidae.